RNAcentral lists this ribosomal RNA (567 nucleotides) under Sphingomonas sp. 2.11. RNAcentral's name for it is "bacterial SSU rRNA". It matches the Rfam family "Bacterial small subunit ribosomal RNA", at positions 100 to 701 of the family's 1533-position model. Lineage: Bacteria; Pseudomonadati; Pseudomonadota; Alphaproteobacteria; Sphingomonadales; Sphingomonadaceae. The record is from RNAcentral.
CACGGGUGCGUAACGCGUGGGAAUCUGCCCUUGGGUACGGAAUAACUCAGAGAAAUUUGUGCUAAUACCGUAUAAUGUCUUCGGACCAAAGAUUUAUCGCCCAAGGAUGAGCCCGGCGUAAGAUUAGCUAGUUGGUGGGGUAAAAGCCUACCAAGGCGACGAUCUUUAGCUGGUCUGAGAGGAUGAUCAGCCACACUGGGACUGAGACACGGCCCAGACUCCUACGGGAGGCAGCAGUGGGGAAUAUUGGACAAUGGGCGAAAGCCUGAUCCAGCAAUGCCGCGUGAGUGAUGAAGGCCUUAGGGUUGUAAAGCUCUUUUACCCGGGAUGAUAAUGACAGUACCGGGAGAAUAAGCUCCGGCUAACUCCGUGCCAGCAGCCGCGGUAAUACGGAGGGAGCUAGCGUUGUUCGGAAUUACUGGGCGUAAAGCGCGCGUAGGCGGUCUUUUAAGUCAGAGGUGAAAGCCCGGGGCUCAACCCCGGAAUAGCCUUUGAAACUGGAAGACUUGAAUCUUGGAGAGGUCAGUGGAAUUAACGAGUGUAGAGGUGAAAUUCGUAGAUAUUCGG